UCCCCCUGGAGCUCAUUACUGUAGUCGGUGAGAUAAGCAGGGAAGGAGCUGUUCAGUUGGCUCCCAGGGGAGGGAGAAAACGGAAAAGGAAAAAAAAAAAAAUGAAAAGCCCACAAGAAGUACAGUUUAGCUAUUUUUUAAAUUAUCAACUCUAUAGAUCCAUCUAUAGAGAUGAAGGAAGAAACCUUGCCCCUUCUGUGGUCCCCAGAAGCUAUUUAUUUCAGCUGAUAGCCCACUACUAUUGCUCAAACCAUGAGCUCUUUGGAGGAUGUUUCCCAAUGGUGGAAUCAGUACAGCUUAGGAAAAGGGGAGAACACAGGCUACAUUGAGGUGAUGGGACAGAAGGGAGGGGAGGGGCCAUGGUGCCCACCAGCCGCACACUGUACUUCAGAAUGGAAAGCUACCAGGGCAGCCAUCACAACCCAGGGAAGAAGCAUCCUUCACUUCUGAAGUGCUGGGUUUGUUUUAGUAAUGAAAGUCACAGCUCUGAGGAUACAUCUCUGAAAAAAGGGACCAGGAAGGGAAAAUCUAUUCCACUCAUCGCAGAUUUUCCCCAUCCUUGAGAUUGUGCAUACCUCUCCUCCUACUAAAGCUUUUUCUGUUUCUCUCAACAAGCUUGUUUUGCUCAUGCGUUUGUGAUGUUUGCGGUCAAAGAAAGGGAUUUUGUAUUUUGGUCAUGAGUUGUGUGCUUUUCCACCUCUGAACAUGGUCUCUUUUCUUACCAUCUUUUUUCUCACAUUUAUUUUUCAAUAGGUAUGUAGUGAGAUCUGCUCAUUUUGGUGCACUGUUCUGUGUGUUUGGACAGCUGCAGUGUUGUGUAACAUCACUACAGUCAAGAUACAGAAUGAUUCCUUUACUUCUUCCUCCCUUCCCUGCCCUGCCUCACACUCACAUUUUGUACCAACCCUUUACAGGGAAGGCUUCCCUAGUCUCUACAUCUGGCAGUGACUAAUCUGUCCUCUAUUCCUAUGGUUAGCCUUUGCCAGAAUGUCACAUCAGUGGAAUUAUACAGCAUGUGGCCUAUGAGUCUGGCUUCUUUUAAUUCACACAAUGCAGCUAAGAUUCAUCCAUGCUGUAGCAAGUAUCAGUACUUUGUUCCCUUUUUAUUACUUAGUAUUCCAUCAUAUGGAUAGACUACUGUUUGUUGAUCCAUGCUCAAGAAGAAGGACAUUGGGGUCAUUUGCUUUUGGAGGUGGCUAUAGAAAAACCUGUCAUAAACAUUAGUGUAAAGAUUUGUAUGUGAACUCAGUUUUCCUUUCACUUGAAUACAUAUCUUGGAGUGGCCAUGUAAACUUUUAUUGAGUGAAUUAAUGAAUGAAUUGACUGACAUGAUGAUAUUUGUUCUCCUUAGGCAGCUCACAAUUUCCAUAUGCCAUCAAUGGGCUGAGGCUUAUAUUUCCAAUGCCUAUUUUGCAUUCUAAUCUAGGAUCAUUAACCUCAUAUUUCCACCUGAAACUUCACUUCAAGUAUGAGAAUGAUUUGAUGAGGGGUUGAAUUUUUUUUGUUCACAGAACUUCAAGGGCAUAAAGCUCUUGAUCCUUUUUUUUGCUCACGUGGGCUGAACAAGUCUGAUGUCCCUUUGAUGAAAGGGUGAGGAGAGCAGCACGCUAAAGUCUGUCUCAACGCCAGAGACCCCCAGAUCUUCCUUCAAGGAUGUGGCCACCUAAUUCAUUCAGAUUUUCAAUCCUGGAGGCUUCUUAUACCCACUGUAUAGUCAAGGCAAGAGUAGCCUGUGAGUCUCUCGUUCCAGUGUCUUAAAAUAGAAAGAAGGAUUAUUUGGUGCCUUCUAUCAAAGGAUGUCACUGAACUCUUACUAUAUAUAGUACCAUCAACUCUAAAUCAGAUGCCGUUGUGCAUGAGUCCAGUUCCUCUAUGAAUCAUGUACUAGGCUGCACUAGGCAGAGCUGUCUAAAUAUAUUGCUAAAUUUUGUUCUUUUGAAACAUUUUUCCACUAAGCAGUCCCAUAAGGAUGUGGUUUAUUGCUGUGAGAAUGCAUCAAAAUACUUUAAAUUAGGGCCUGGGGUGGGGGAGGGAUGGAUCGGCAGUUUGAGAUUAGCAGAUGCAAACUGUUAUAUAUAGGAUGGAUAAACAAGGCCAUACUAUAUAGCACAGGGAAUUAAAUUCAAUAUCCUAUAAUAAAUCAUAAUAGAAAAUAAUAUGCAAAAGAAUACAUAUAGACAUACACAUAUAUGUAAAACUGAAUCACUUUGUUGUAAUCAGUAACUAACACAACAUUGUAAAUCAACUAUAUAUCAAUAAAAAAUAAAAAAUAAAUCAUAUUGAAUGUAAUUUAUAAUAUAUCAAUUUGAAGUGAAACAUACAUUAUGUAUUAAAUCUACAUUAUCCCUUCUUGUGAGUAGUCCCAAUUCUUUUCAUAGCAUGUUGAGACAAGCCAAACUUUAAAAUGAACCAUCAAGUUACCUUAGUGAUAAUAGUUUUCAUUUGUGUCCAUCACAAUUGUGAUCAUCAGGAAAUCAAAUGAUGUGUGAGAAGCAGCCUAAUGUUAGCACUGAUACAGAGAACAGAGUUUAGAAAUUUUAUCACCAUUAUCUUCAAAUAGCUCAGUUGUUCUUAUCUAUUUUUUAAGUUAUAGACACCUUUGAAAACCCAAUGAAAACUAUUUUUAGAAAAAAAUCAUCAACACCUACAUAAACAAAAUUUUACCUACAGUCUCAGUGAGGUGACAGAAUAAAUGAAGUCCAUCUACAAAUUCCUAAAUGAUUCAUGCUCAUGUUAAGAAUGCCUGAAAAAAGCUUUUCUUGCACACACAUACGUACUUGACUUGUUGGAAGAGCUUGUAUUUUAAAAAGUUUCCAUUGUGGUGCAGCAGAAACGAAUCCAACCAGGAACCAUGAGGUUGUGGGUUCGAUAUUUGGCCUAGCUCAGUGGGUUAAGGAUCCAGUGUUGCCAUGAGCUUCAGUACAGGUUGAAGAUGCGGCUCAGAUCCGGCAUAGCUGUGGCUGUGGCAUAAGCCGGCAGCUACAGCUCCAGUUAGACCCUGGGAACCUCCAUAUGCCGCAGGUGCAGCCCUAAAG
RNAcentral lists this long non-coding RNA (3035 nucleotides) under Sus scrofa (pig). Its description in RNAcentral is "lncRNA (ENSSSCG00000062172.1)". The record is from RNAcentral. Lineage: Eukaryota; Metazoa; Chordata; Mammalia; Artiodactyla; Suidae.